This 497-nucleotide ribosomal RNA is filed under the name uncultured bacterium. Its description in RNAcentral is "partial 16S ribosomal RNA". It matches the Rfam family "Bacterial small subunit ribosomal RNA", at positions 28 to 507 of the family's 1533-position model. The record is from RNAcentral.
GAUGAACGCUGGCGGCGUGCCUAAUACAUGCAAGUCGAGCGAACGGACGAGAAGCUUGCUUUUCUGAUGUUAGCGGCGGACGGGUGAGUAACACGUGGAUAACCUACCUAUAAGACUGGGAUAACUUCGGGAAACCGGAGCUAAUACCGGAUAAUAUUUUGAACCGCAUGGUUCAAAAGUGAAAGACGGUCUUGCUGUCACUUAUAGAUGGAUCCGCGCUGCAUUAGCUAGUUGGUAAGGUAACGGCUUACCAAGGCAACGAUGCAUAGCCGACGUGAGAGGGUGAUCGGCCACACUGGAACUGAGACACGGUCCAGACUCCUACGGGAGGCAGCAGUAGGGAAUCUUCCGCAAUGGGCGAAAGCCUGACGGAGCAACGCCGCGUGAGUGAUGAAGGUCUUCGGAUCGUAAAACUCUGUUAUUAGGGAAGAACAUAUGUGUAAGUAACUGUGCACAUCUUGACGGUACCUAAUCAGAAAGCCACGGCUAACUACGUG